UACGUAGGUGGCAAGCGUUGUUCGGAAUUACUGGGCGUAAAGCGCGGGCAGGUGGCUCUUUAAGUCCUUUGUGAAAUUCCGGAGCUCAACUCCGGAUGUGCAUAGGAUACUGGAGAGCUGGAGACUGGUAGAGGCGAGCGGAAUUCCUGGUGUAGCGGUGGAAUGCGUAGAUAUCAGGAGGAACACCGGUGGCGAAGGCGGAUCUCUGGGCCUUACCUGACGCUGAGGCGCGAAAGCUAGGGGAGCAAACAGG
Molecule: ribosomal RNA, 253 nt
Filed under: uncultured bacterium
Lineage: Bacteria
Description: partial 16S ribosomal RNA
Rfam family: Bacterial small subunit ribosomal RNA
Source: RNAcentral